RNAcentral lists this ribosomal RNA (463 nucleotides) under uncultured bacterium. RNAcentral's name for it is "partial 16S ribosomal RNA". It matches the Rfam family "Bacterial small subunit ribosomal RNA", at positions 28 to 507 of the family's 1533-position model. The record is from RNAcentral.
GACGAACGCUGGCGGCGUGCUUAACACAUGCAAGUCGAACGGAAAGGCCCUUUUGGUGGUGGUCGCUUGGCGGACGAGUGGGUAACUAGUAGGUGAUUUGCCUUGCCCUCAGGGUUAAGUCUCGGCAACUAACUCUAACACAUGCUGGGACCGCACUCCAGCGUCAGUGGUGGAGUGUUGUCUUGGUGUCGGAUGGGGCUGCGGUCUCUCCGCUUCAUGGUGGGGUAAUGGCCUUCCAAGGCGGAGGCGGGUACCCGGACUGGGCGGGUGGUCGGGCACAUUGGGGCUGAGAUACGGGCCAGACUCCUACGGGAGGGAGCAGUUGGGAAAAUUGCACAAUGGGGGCGAGCCUGAUUCAGCGACGGCGGGGUGGGGAUGACGGCCUUCGGGUUGUUAACUCGUUUCGCCAUGGACGAAGCGGUUAGUGACGGUACCGGGAGAAGAAGCACCGGCUAACUACGUG